ACUCAAAUGAAUUGACGGGGACCCGCACAAGCGGUGGAGCAUGUGGUUUAAUUCGACGGUAAGCGAGGAACCUUACCCAGGCUUGAACUUCAACUACAAAUCCUAUGAAAGUAGGACUUCUUCGAGAGUGUUGGAGAGGUGCUGCAUGGUUGCCGUCAGCUCGUGUUGUGAAAUGUACCCUUAAGUGGAGUAACGAGCGCAACCCCCGUGUUAUGUUAAAUGUACAUAACAGACUGCCUGCGUAAGCAGGAGGAAGGCGGGGAUGACGUCAAAUCAGCAUGGCCUUUACGUCUGGGGCUACACACGUGCUACAAUGGGGCAAAACAAUGGGUCGCCAAACCGCAAGGUGGAGCUAAUCCCAGCAAAAUGCCCCCCAGUUCAGAUCGUGGGCUGCAACUCGCCCACGUGAAGCCGGAAUCGCUAGUAAACGCAAAUCAGCCUCGUUGCGUUGAAUACGUUCUCGGGUCUUGUACACACCGCCCGU
This 484-nucleotide ribosomal RNA is filed under the name uncultured bacterium. RNAcentral describes it as "partial 16S ribosomal RNA". It matches the Rfam family "Bacterial small subunit ribosomal RNA", at positions 899 to 1397 of the family's 1533-position model. The record is from RNAcentral.